GCGCGGAUGGCGGAAUUGGUAUACGCUGCGGACUUAAAAUCCGUUGCCUGAAUAAGGCUUGAGGGUUCGAGUCCCUCUCCGCGCACCA
RNAcentral lists this transfer RNA (88 nucleotides) under Candidatus Saccharimonadota bacterium. RNAcentral describes it as "tRNA-Leu". It matches the Rfam family "tRNA". From Rfam's summary of the family: Transfer RNA (tRNA) molecules are approximately 80 nucleotides in length. Their secondary structure includes four short double-helical elements and three loops (D, anti-codon, and T loops). The record is from RNAcentral. Lineage: Bacteria; Candidatus Saccharimonadota.